RNAcentral lists this ribosomal RNA (236 nucleotides) under uncultured Staphylococcus sp. RNAcentral describes it as "partial 16S ribosomal RNA". It matches the Rfam family "Bacterial small subunit ribosomal RNA", at positions 104 to 334 of the family's 1533-position model. The record is from RNAcentral. Lineage: Bacteria; Bacillati; Bacillota; Bacilli; Caryophanales; Staphylococcaceae.
GGGUGAGUAACACGUGGAUAACCUACCUAUAAGACUGGGAUAACUUCGGGAAACCGGAGCUAAUACCGGAUAACAUGUUGAACCGCAUGGUUCAACAGUGAAAGACGGUCUUGCUGUCACUUAUAGAUGGAUCCGCGUCGCAUUAGCUAGUUGGUAAGGUAACGGCUUACCAAGGCAACGAUGCGUAGCCGACCUGAGAGGGUGAUCGGCCACACUGGAACUGAGACACGGUCCAG